CCUACGGGAGCAGCAGUGGGGAAUAUUGGACAAUGGGCGAAAGCCUGAUCCAGCCAUGCCGCGUGUGUGAAGAAGGCCUUCGGGUUGUAAAGCACUUUCAGUGGGGAAGAAAGCCUUGGGGCUAAUACCCUCGAGGAAGGACAUCACCCACAGAAGAAGCACCGGCUAACUCCGUGCCAGCAGCCGCGGUAAUACGGAGGGUGCGAGCGUUAAUCGGAAUUACUGGGCGUAAAGCGCGCGUAGGCGGUCUGAUAAGCCGGUUGUGAAAGCCCCGGGCUCAACCUGGGAACGGCAUCCGGAACUGUCAGGCUAGAGUGCAGGAGAGGAAGGUAGAAUUCCCGGUGUAGCGGUGAAAUGCGUAGAGAUCGGGAGGAAUACCAGUGGCGAAGGCGGCCUUCUGGACUGACACUGACGCUGAGGUGCGAAAGCGUGGGUAGCAAACAGGAUUAGAUACCCUUGUAGUC
RNAcentral lists this ribosomal RNA (464 nucleotides) under Vreelandella stevensii. Its description in RNAcentral is "partial 16S ribosomal RNA". It matches the Rfam family "Bacterial small subunit ribosomal RNA", at positions 338 to 795 of the family's 1533-position model. Lineage: Bacteria; Pseudomonadati; Pseudomonadota; Gammaproteobacteria; Oceanospirillales; Halomonadaceae. The record is from RNAcentral.